GGGCCUAUAGCUCAGCCGGUUAGAGCGCACGCCUGAUAAGCGUGAGGUCGAUGGUUCGAGUCCAUCUAGGCCCA
This 74-nucleotide transfer RNA is filed under the name Syntrophomonas zehnderi OL-4. It matches the Rfam family "tRNA". From Rfam's summary of the family: Transfer RNA (tRNA) molecules are approximately 80 nucleotides in length. Their secondary structure includes four short double-helical elements and three loops (D, anti-codon, and T loops). Further hydrogen bonds mediate the characteristic L-shaped molecular structure. tRNAs have two regions of fundamental functional importance: the anti-codon, which is responsible for specific mRNA codon recognition, and the 3' end, to which the tRNAs corresponding amino acid is attached (by aminoacyl-tRNA synthetases). tRNAs cope with the degeneracy of the genetic code in two manners: having more than one tRNA (with a specific anti-codon) for a particular amino acid; and 'wobble' base-pairing, i.e. permitting non-standard base-pairing at the 3rd anti-codon position. The record is from Rfam by way of RNAcentral. Lineage: Bacteria; Bacillati; Bacillota; Clostridia; Eubacteriales; Syntrophomonadaceae.